GUCCACGCCGUAAACGAUGGAUACUAGCUGUUGGGCGCAAGUUCAGUGGCUAAGCGAAAGUGAUAAGUAUCCCACCUGGGGAGUACGUUCGCAAGAAUGAAACUCAAAGGAAUUGACGGGGGCCCGCACAAGCGGUGGAGCAUGUGGUUUAAUUCGAUGAUACGCGAGGAACCUUACCAAGGCUUAAAUGUAGAUUGACAGGUUUGGAAACAGAUCUUUCUUCGGACAAUUUACAAGGUGCUGCAUGGUUGUCGU
Molecule: ribosomal RNA, 255 nt
Filed under: uncultured bacterium
Lineage: Bacteria
Description: partial 16S ribosomal RNA
Rfam family: Bacterial small subunit ribosomal RNA
Source: RNAcentral